CCUACGGGAGGCAGCAGUGGGGAAUUUUGGACAAUGGGGGAAACCCUGCUCCAGCGACGUCGCGUGAGUGAAGCAGUAUUUCGGUACGUAAAGCUCUAUCAGUAGGAAAGUAAAUGACGGUACCUGACUAAGAAGCCCCGGCUAACUACGUUCAAGCAGCCGCGGUAAUACGGAGGGGGCAAGCGUAAUCCGGAUUUACUGGGUGUAAAGGGAACGUAGACGGGGGCGAAAGUAUGGAGUGAAAUGCCGGGGACCAACCCCGGAACUGAACUGGAAACUGGGAAGCUGGAGUGCAGGAGAGGUAAGCGGAAUUCCUGGUGUAGCGGUGAAAUGCGUAGAUAUCAGGAGGAACCACGACGGCGAAGGCGGCUUACUGAACUGUAACUGACGUUGAGGCUCGAAGGCGUGGGGAGCAAACAGGAUUAGAUACCCCUGUAGUC
This 440-nucleotide ribosomal RNA is filed under the name uncultured bacterium. RNAcentral's name for it is "partial 16S ribosomal RNA". It matches the Rfam family "Bacterial small subunit ribosomal RNA", at positions 338 to 795 of the family's 1533-position model. The record is from RNAcentral.